AUUGAACGCUGGCGGCGUGCCUAACACAUGCAAGUCGAUCGGUAACAGGUGUAGCAAUACAUGCUGACGAGAGGCGGACGGGUGAGUAACGCUUGGGAAUCUGCCUUUUAGUGGGGGACAACCCGGGGAAACUCGGGCUAAUACCGCAUACGCUCUACGGAGGAAAGCCGGGGACCGCAAGGCCUGGCGCUAAUAGAUGAGCCCAAGUCGGAUUAGCUAGUUGGUAGGUAACGGCCACCAAGGCGACGAUCCGUAGCUGGUCUGAGAGGACGACCAGCCACACUGGGACUGAGACACGGCCCAGACUCCUACGGGAGGCAGCAGUGGGGAAUAUUGGACAAUGGGGGAAACCCUGAUCCAGCGACGCCGCGUGGGUGAAGAAGGCCUGCGGGUUGUAAAGCCCUUUCGGUGGGGAAGAAAAGCCUCGACCUAACACGUCGGGUAUUGACGUAACCCACAAAAGAAGCACCGGCUAACUCUGUGCCAGCAGCCG
This 493-nucleotide ribosomal RNA is filed under the name uncultured bacterium. RNAcentral describes it as "bacterial SSU rRNA". It matches the Rfam family "Bacterial small subunit ribosomal RNA", at positions 29 to 517 of the family's 1533-position model. The record is from RNAcentral.